AUGAAUUAAAAUAUUUCUGUGUAGAGUUUUCCCCUAGGUAUAGGAACAAUUUACUGUGGGCUAUAAUAACCCCAGGAUGUGUAGACAGAAGACACAUGGUGUCUGUGUAUACUAAACUCUAAUGAGGUUACAAACCACUUCUACUCUAUUCCAGAUCUAUUGAGGCUCCUACUUAUCUUGGUUGGUAUUUGACCCAGUGGACCUCAGAUGCAUGGAGAGUCAACAUUUGUCAUGUUUUUGGGCUCUACCUGGACCUGCCAACCCAGUUCCUGUGCGCCCCUCAGAAGAAUUCAGCCUGCAGGAGGACAGCUUUGACCCCUGUGAUUUCAUCUCUGCCCCAACCAAUCAGCAGCAAGCACCCAUUCCCUGGCAGUCCCACCCCUUCCCCCAAACUGCCUUUGAAAAACCCCUACCUAGGAGCCUUAGACAAUAUUGAUUUGAGUACUAACUCCAUCU
Molecule: long non-coding RNA, 456 nt
Filed under: Homo sapiens (human)
Lineage: Eukaryota; Metazoa; Chordata; Mammalia; Primates; Hominidae
Description: non-protein coding lnc-PHF14-2:3
Source: RNAcentral